UUAUCAACUUUUUUCUUAAGUUAAAAAUUAAUCUGCGCAAAUAGAAGAAAUUAUAAAGGAAAAAAUACAUUUUCCUAUCUAAAACAAUGACGAGCUGGCCAAUCAUUACCAUUUCAUUCUUCCGAGGAAUGGCUGGAGUUAGCCAGUUUUAUAACUCCUAUGUUGUUAAACCCGACGUGUAAACGAAUAUUUUAUGGGCAGAAUUACAAAGGAAAAUGUGUGUACAUUAAUUCGACUCAUUUGAUUCUCCUUUACAUGCGAUGUUAUUGAUAUGCAUAUUAUUAAAGGCCUUCUACAUUCGUGAGUAAUUUUAUUUUUGUCUUGCAUCGAUAGCAGAUCACAUUGAUUAAUACAGAGACAAAUUGAUUAUAUUACAAGAAAUACUGCACAAGCAAAAUUUUUUUUGUUAUACGCUUGCGAUACGUAUGUUUCGUUUUUUAUGCACAUAUACACAUAUAAUGCAAAUAAUUAGCUUGAGGAAUUCCUCAAGCUAUAACAGAUACAAUUAACACAGCAUUGUAUAAAAGAAAUAAAUAAACUUAUAUUAUCGUUCGUUGAUAAUUCACAAUUAAGAGCAACUUAUAUUCUAACAACAAAUUAAAUAAUUAUAUUAAUCUAUUUUAAUCCAUACUAAAAAACAAGAAUACAAAACGCAUAUGUACAUAAUGCAACAAGAGUGCAUAAUGCCCUCUUCUCAUUAUCGUCCUUCGCAAUUGUAUUUGUAACAGAAUAAAUAUGUUUCACGCGAUAAUUGGAAUGCUCCUUUGUUGAUAUACGUCGAAGAUUAGAGAAGUAUUGACACAGAUAUUGACUAAAAUUCAGCUGUCAUUAAAUCUGUAUUACUAACAACUGCUAACGAUAUCCAACUGGUGAUUGCGACUGCGAUUAGCAAUUUACGAAAUAGAGUGCAUCCGAUCCUCCGAUCGCCAGUCGUAAUCGCUAGUUCCUGUGCUCUAAUCGAUGGAUUGCGAAUUAUAGUCGCAAUUGCCAGUUGGAUUGUCAUUAGCAGUUGCUGUGUAAUACAAGCUUUACGACUAUUCUAUCUAUUAUUAUAAUUUUUUUCCUGUAUAGUGACAAACAUUGAAUCAACAUGUGCACGAUUAUCCAUAGCAUACAAUAUACAAUAUGUGCACUUGCGGAUGCACUCAACAAUAAAUACAUGGUAUACGAGAAUAUAACAAGUACAUUUCUUUGUAGCUAUGUUUAUUGCUGUAUGUUGACAUCUGCCAUAUCCUUACAAGCAAAUUGACACUUUCUGUGAAAUGAUUAGACGUUCUGACGUUCCAUUUAAUUACUGAAUAAGGAUAUGACAGGUAUCAUAUCCUUACAACCAAUGUUUUUUCAAUUACAAACUAGAACAGUGUUUCCCAAUAUUUCUGAGAUAUAUAUAUAUAUAUAAAUCUUUUAGCAUAUACAAGAUUAUUAUUUAUUAAUUAUUGUUAUCAUUGAUGUCCCAUGCCAAAGAGCCUUUCUCUUUUUAUAAAUAUUACUCUUUUACAAUGAAAAAAGAUGUUCACAUUCAGAGCAUCCUUUUUCUUCUUACUUUAUUUCCUAGUAUUAUUUAAAAUAAAACAUUUUUUAUAUUACACAUUUACAGUGAAAAGUUUAAUAUUAAUUAAGCAAAUAAACUACUUUUUCCUAUGGUACAUAAAAGUAAUGCUAUAAAUAUAAGCUAAAUUACUAAUUAACUUGUAUUGAAUUAAUUAUAUUCGUACGUUAAACUAAUUAAAUACUAUAUAAUCGAAAGUUGGUGAAAUGUUUCAUCAAUUAUUUCUAUUUGCUAAAUAAGUACUUUAUCUGCUAAUAACUAUUGUAUUAUUAAACUAUUGCUUAAAUGUAUGUUCUCUUAUUUCUUCCAUAAAGUGGCAAAAGGUUUGUUUUUUAUUCCUGCACUGAACUGAACUAAUUCUGCACUAGAACUGAGCUGGUGUAAACGAGAACUGAGAAUGCAGACGGGAAUAGAAAACACUACAGUGCAAAGCAGUGCAACAAUAAUAUGGCGCGCCACAUUUUG
Monomorium pharaonis (pharaoh ant) is the source of this 2014-nucleotide long non-coding RNA. RefSeq lists it as uncharacterized. Lineage: Eukaryota; Metazoa; Arthropoda; Insecta; Hymenoptera; Formicidae. The record is from RefSeq and is a predicted model, not a curated record. The transcript has 2 exons.